This 498-nucleotide ribosomal RNA is filed under the name uncultured bacterium. RNAcentral describes it as "partial 16S ribosomal RNA". It matches the Rfam family "Bacterial small subunit ribosomal RNA", at positions 30 to 523 of the family's 1533-position model. The record is from RNAcentral.
AUUGAACGCUGGCGGCAUGCCUUACACAUGCAAGUCGAACGGUAACAGGUCUUCGGAUGCUGACGAGUGGCGAACGGGUGAGUACUACAUCGGAACGUGCCUAGUAGUGGGGGAUAACUACUCGAAAGAGUGGCUAAUACAGCAUGAGAUCUACGUAUGAAAGCAGGGGAUCGCAAGACCUUGUGCUCCUAGCGCGGCCGAUGGCAGAUUAGGUAGUUGGUGGGAUAAAAGCUUACAAAGCCGACGAUCUGUAGCUGGUCUGAGAGGACGAUCAGCCACACUGGGACUGAGACACGGCCCAGACUCCUACGGGAGGCAGCAGUGGGGAAUUUUGGACAAUGGGCGAAAGCCUGAUCCAGCAAUGCCGCGUGCAGGAUGAAGGCCUUCGGGUUGUAAACUGCUUUUGUACGGAACGAAAAGCCCCGGGUUAAUACCCUGGGGUCAUGACGGUACCGUAAGAAUAAGCACCGGCUAACUACGUGCCAGCCGCCGCAGUAA